UCAACUGUAAAAGAUUCUUCUCUUGUAGUGGUUGCAUAAUGUCUGAAGGCCAGAAAAACAUCUUAUUUCCUCCAUAUUUCCAAAACAGGAACCACUGCUUUCUUAGAGCCCCAUGUUUAUUGAAUAAAUGGAUGAAGUAUUGAUAGAAAAAGGAUGCUUUAUAGAAAUAAUUUGAAUGGCAAGAUGCUCCAACUCAUUUAACACAGGACCUGUCUUGCUGAACUUUGUUUAGACGCAGCCUUUCAAGGGCACGUUUUCUGCUGAAGGGAAGUAUGUUUCUAGAUGAAUAAUGCCUUUUCACAGUGUCUGAGUCACCUCACAGCUUUCAACCUCAUCUGAUAACGGUCCUUGGCAGAUCUGCCCUUUUGGCGGGGCUUCCCCUGGGCUAUCACCUCUUGUCUGCCCUGUGUGUGCUGUUGCCUCUUGCAGAGGGUUGCCAGGCACCGGAACCUGCAUUAUUAUAGUUCUUUAGUUCAGUAUUGUUCUCAUGGUCCAUUGUGGGGAAGAGGAUCUUUGGCUGGGAUCUCAGGAGGAUAGCAGGACUGCCUCAACACUGUCACCAACCUCGUGAAGGCUGUUUCUGGCAGGAGAACUGAGAUUGAAAGGGAAGGGUGAAAAGAAAGUGUACAACAAGGAUUCCUGAGCUCCACUUGAUUAGAAAGCAUGGCCAGUCCUCUAGGCUAGCCACUGGCCAUUUCUUCGAUGGAGGGCAUUCAGUGCAUAAAGAGGAAGGAUUCAGGAUUAAUUGGGUCACAACUCUAAGGCUCCAUACUAGAGUGGGUUAUUAGUUCCAGCUCUGGGCCUUCCCUAAUCAUGGUAGGACUGUACUCCUGAACCCCUUGGGCUGUGUGGGAUCAAGUGGCAAUUUUAACCAUUGCCUGCAUGGAAAUGAUGCAUGUGACUUCCAGACUAGAGUAUUUAAAUGCAGUAUGAGACUCUGCAGUUUCCUUUCCUUCUACCACACAAACACAAUGUUUCUCUUUGGAUUCCAGAAGGACAAUGUAGAAUUGGUUCCUCAGCCAAAGUAUGAUGGACAGGUAGCAUAAGUGAAAAAUAUACCUUGCUUUUUAGUCACUGAGGUUAUGGGAUUUUAUUGUAACCCAAACUAGCCUAUCCUGACUGAUGCACAAACCUCUUCCCCUUGACCAUAGUACCAGGAGUGUUCCAAAAUGCAGGAAAAGGGCAGCUUUGUUUGAAAAGAGAGGCCACAUCAAGCUCCUCCUGUGGCACUGGGGUCACUGAGUAGUUACGAGCUUACAGGUGUGUGUUAAAUUAGCAAACCUGUUGGGCUUUGUUCUGGAAACUGACAGAGACCAGAAGGAAACUUCAGAACAGCUGUAAAGACUGCAGAAACUGUGGAGACCCCUUGUGCCAGAUAGCCUGACCCAGGGGUCCCUGAGUUGGGGUGUGGACUACCAGAGCGUCAAGGGCUUUACUGUGCAUGCUCCAGGUUGUUUCUCAUUUGAGUUUCUCCCUCCCUCCUUCCCUCCCUUCUUCCCUCCCUCCCUCGCUUUCUCCUUCCCUUCUUCCCUCUCUUCCUUCCUUUUCACUCAAAAAUCGAGUUUGUAUCCCAGGCACUGUGCUGUUCUGGAACUUCAGGGGUGAGUAAAACCACCACAGUAGACCAUCAUGUGACUUAACCUGCUAGCAGAGAUAAGGUUAGGGAUCAUGGGAGCAGAGGCAACCAGCCACAAUUGCAAUAGAGGCUCCAAGGUUCCCCACUAACAGGUGGAGGACUCGCCCUUGUCAUCCUUGAUGAUAACUGCAUUUUCCUUCUAACCCUUCCCAGUUAGUUCCCUGCUCUCUUUGCCAGUUUGCCUUUUUCUCAUAGUUCCCCUCAGCAGGCUGCCCAUUUCUGACUGACAUUGCCCCAUAGUCACUUGUCUUCUACCACACCCCAUGUCCUCAGUCCUUCAGUCUCCUUGGACUUCACUGCUCACUGCUCCAUACAACCUAGUGGAACCCACAGCCAUUGUCUCGCCACCACUGCCUGCAGCUCAUCUAGGAUCCGGGCUGUCUUGCUGUCACCUUUUCCAGGUGUGUUCAGCCAGGGAAGCUGUCUGCAACAGGCAUUCCUCCAAAACUGACAUCCUGCUUGUAUGAGAAGCCUUCAUGAUGAACAUGACCUUCUUGGCAGUGAGAGCCAAACUGUGGAAAAUACAUUAGAUGACCCUUGGUCUUUGUCUUGAGCCAUUUUAAGAACAGAGGAUGAGAGCUGCUUGGGGAGGAAGGGUCAUCACUCAGGACUGGUGCAACCUGUUGAAGGUGCCCUAAAGCAUUCCCAUGGGCACUGAGUGGCAAAACACCAGGUCUCAUUAUUUUGGGCACCUGUGAAUUGGACACUCAUCUCUGAGCUGAGGACUGACAUUGGCCCUUCUCCCAAUACAUAGACUGGAAGUUUUGGAAAGAGUGGUUCAUCAAAAGAAAAGCAGGAUGCUGUUACUUGAGGAAAUAGAGAAGGAUCCAGGAAAGCAAGAACCAGAUGUCUAUAGAGUUGCCAGAGGAAAAUAAUUCUAAGAAGGAAACGAAGGAGUGUGAAAUAUUGCUAAGAGAUCAUGAAAAAUAGUGAAAAAAUGCCUAUUGGAUUAACUUCCUGGAAGAUGCUGACCCACACAAACAGCUUCACUACAAACUGGGGUGUGGAACUGGUGCAAGAUUCUACCUCAGAGCAGGCAAAUCUUACAGUUCAAGACGUAUUACAGAGGUCAAUCUGAGUUUUGAAAAGGUGUUGCGCAUGUUGGUUUACUGAACCAACCUAUCAUUUUAUCUCCCACAUUUCUUCGUUUCCAAUGGAUUAGUCUUUUAACUCUUUAUUAGUAAUAUGUCUAUGUGUAUCAUAAACAUUGCACAACUUUUUAAGGACUUAAAAACAGCAUACUUACAGGGACACAGACACAUCAUUGUUUAUAGCAGCACAAUUCACAAUAGCUAAACUGUGAACCAACUUAGAUGCCCUUCAAUAGAUGAAUGGAUAAAAAAA
Ictidomys tridecemlineatus (thirteen-lined ground squirrel) is the source of this 2980-nucleotide non-coding RNA. The record is from RefSeq and is a predicted model, not a curated record. Lineage: Eukaryota; Metazoa; Chordata; Mammalia; Rodentia; Sciuridae.